UAGGUCUUGGCUUAAUUAAAGCGCUUGAGUUGCAUUCAGGAGAUGUAAAUUAGUAUUUACAGGUCUU
RNAcentral lists this transfer RNA (67 nucleotides) under Anolis vanidicus. RNAcentral's name for it is "tRNA-Ala". The record is from RNAcentral. Lineage: Eukaryota; Metazoa; Chordata; Lepidosauria; Squamata; Anolidae.